RNAcentral lists this ribosomal RNA (490 nucleotides) under uncultured bacterium. RNAcentral describes it as "partial 16S ribosomal RNA". It matches the Rfam family "Bacterial small subunit ribosomal RNA", at positions 30 to 507 of the family's 1533-position model. The record is from RNAcentral.
AUUGAACGCUGGCGGCAGGCCUAACACAUGCAAGUCGAACGGUAACAGGAAACAGCUUGCUGUUUCGCUGACGAGGGGCGGGCGUGUGAGUAAUGUCUGUGACACUGCCUGAUGGAGGGGGUUAACUACUGGAAACGGUAGCCAAAACCGCACAACGUCGGAAGACCAAAGAGCGGGACUUUCGGGCCUCUUUCCUUCCGCUGAGCCCAGGUGGCAUUAGCUAGUAGGUGGGGUAACGGCUGACCAAGGCGACGAUCCCUAGCUGGUCUGAGAGGAUGAACAGCCACACUGGAACUGAGACACGGUCCAGACUCCUACGGGAGGCAGCAGUGGGGAAUCUUGCACAAUGGGCGCAAGCCUGAUGCAGCCAUGCCGCGUGUGUGAAGAAGGUCUUCGGAUUGUAAAGCACUUUCAGUGGGGAGGAAGGGAGGUAAGUUAAUACCUUCGCGCAUUGACGUUACCCACAGAAGAAGCACCGGCUAACUCCGUG